CGGGGUGCAGCAGGCGCGAAAACUUUACAAUGCCGGCAACGGCGAUAAGGGAACCUCGAGUGCCAGGUUACAAAUCUGGCUGUCGUGAUGCCUAAAAAGCAUUGCAUAGCAAGGGCCGGGCAAGACCGGUGCCAGCCGCCGCGGUAACACCGGCGGCUCGAGUGGUAACCGUUAUUAUUGGGUCUAAAGGGUCUGUAGCCGGCCGGGUAAGUCUCUUGGGAAAUCUGGCAGCUUAACUGUCAGGCUUUCAGGAGAUACUGCCUGGCUCGAGGCCGGGAGAGGUGAGAGGUACUUCAGGGGUAGGGGUGAAAUCUUGUAAUCCUUGAAGGACCACCAGUGGCGAAGGCGUCUCACCAGAACGGACCUGACGGCAAGGGACGAAAGCUAGGGGCACGAACCGGAUUAGAUACCCGGGUAGUCCUAGCCGUAAACGAUACUCGCUAGGUGUCGGCCACGGUGCGACCGUGGUCGGUGCCGUAGGGAAGCCGUGAAGCGAGCCACCUGGGAAGUACGGCCGCAAGGCUGAAACUUAAAGGAAUU
RNAcentral lists this ribosomal RNA (540 nucleotides) under uncultured archaeon. RNAcentral's name for it is "bacterial SSU rRNA". It matches the Rfam family "Archaeal small subunit ribosomal RNA", at positions 326 to 866 of the family's 1478-position model. The record is from RNAcentral.